This is a long non-coding RNA of Zophobas morio, 752 nucleotides long. RefSeq lists it as uncharacterized. The transcript is spliced from 6 exons. The record is from RefSeq and is a predicted model, not a curated record. NCBI's taxonomy places the organism in Eukaryota, Metazoa, Arthropoda, Insecta, Coleoptera, Tenebrionidae.
AAUUAACUAUGAAAGAGCGCGGUGUUUCUCUCAAACUCUUCGCAAACAAGAUAAUGUAAAAGUUUGCUUAGACUUAAACACAUUGUAUGAAAACUUUCAAAAGGCUACAAUUAUCAAACAAGAUGAAGAUAUAUGUUUAUUAUGGAAGGAGCCUGGGCAGUCUUUUUCCCAAAUCUUUAAAAAGAAUUGCAACGUGGAAUAUAUAAAAAACUCUCAAGAUAAUAAUAGUAAAAACCAUGAGGACUUAGAAAAACUCGAGCCACCUUCCACAGAAUUAGAUAAAUAUAUAAUGUAUAACGUGAAGCCCUCAAUUUAUCAAGACGAAAGAAUACCAAAUGCGCUCAUGUGCCAGCCUUUAUACCACGUGGGGAAAAGCGUGGGGGGAUUAGUGAUUCUUGCUAAAACACAAACGGCCUUAAAAAAAUUAAGCAUCAGUCGUUCUUUCGGUGAUGCUAUUAUUAAAAAGUAUGCUGCUCUUUUACAUGGCCGUCUUGUUUUAAGUGAAAAAGAGAAAGAAUACACUUUAGAGAAAGGAAUUAAUGAUCUCGAACUCAAAAAAACUGUACAAACAACCACUGGCUUUAUUUCUUUUGUCCUUUUCCAUUGUAACUCGGACAUAACUGCGAAGGAGGCUUUUUACUUUAUCGCUCGUCCAGUAGCUGGGAACAGCAAAUAUUGUAGACCUUUUAAUUCUUCUCCCACCCGUGGUUCGUUUCUCGCACUAGUGGGAGUAGAAUUUAUUCAUCCUCGAA